GCCCCUAAAGCUAGCCCAACUAACUCAAACAACAACCAAAAUUAAUAACCCAAAAGGCACAAACACCACUUAAGCAAAACAUUUUACCGCCUUAGUAUGGGAGACAGAAAAGGUUCAAAGGCGCAACAGAAAUAGUACCGCAAGGGAAAGUUGAAAGAGAGAUGAAAAAGCCCACCAAAGGCAUAAAAAGCAGAGACUAGUCCUCGUACCUUUUGCAUCAUGAAUUAGCCAGUACCCCCAGGCAAAGAGUCCCUUAAGUCUGAGCCCCCGAAACUAUGCGAGCUACUCCAAGACAGCCUAUUAUAGGGCACACCCGUCUCUGUGGCAAAAGAGUGGGAAGAGCUUUGAGUAGAGGUGACAGACCUACCGAGCCUAGUUAUAGCUGGUUGCCUAAGAAAUGAAUAGAAGUUCACCCUCUUAACUUCUUCUACCAAAAAGAUAAACCACCCUAAGGCCAAGAGAACAUUAAGAGAGAUAUUCAAAGGGGGGACAGCCCCUUUGAAAAAAGACACAACUUUAACAGAAGGCUAAAGAUCAAAGAAUACAAGGAAACAUAACCAGGUGGGCCUAAAAGCAGCCACCCUUGUAGAAAGCGUUAAAGCUUAAAUAUGCUAUACCUAUGAUACCGACAAGUACAUCCAAAGCCCCUCCAUUUACUAGGCCCUCCUAUGCAACCAUAGGAGAGAUACUGCUAAUAUGAGUAAUAAGAGGGCCCAGGCUCUCUCCUUGCAGAUGUGUAUAUCAGACCGGACAUCCCCCUGAAAAUUAACGCCCCCAACAACAGAGGGUAGUGGGUAAUAAUAGACAAGUCUAGAAACCCUCCCAACCACCAGCGUUAACCCUACACAGGCCUGCCCCAGGAAAGACAAAAAGAAAAAGAAGGAACUCGGCAAACAUUGGCCUCGCCUGUUUACCAAAAACAUCGCCUCUUGCUCCAACAGUAUAAGAGGUCCCGCCUGCCCUGUGACAACAGUUUAACGGCCGCGGUAUUUUGACCGUGCAAAGGUAGCGUAAUCACUUGUCUUUUAAAUAGAGACCUGUAUGAAUGGCAUAACGAGGGCUAUGCUGUCUCCUUUUUCCUGUCAAUGAAAUUGAUCUGCCCGUGCAGAAGCGGGCAUCAGAACAUAAGACGAGAAGACCCUAUGGAGCUUUAGACACCAGAGCAGACCGUGUUAAUAACCCCCUCAUAAGGGAAAAAACAAGACUGACCCUGCUUAUUUGUCUUUGGUUGGGGCGACCGCGGAGAACAAUAAAACCCCCGCGUGGAAUGGGGAUCCCUAAAACAAGGCCCACAGGCCUAGUAUCCAGAAAAUCUGACCAAAAGAUCCGGCUACGCCGAUCAACGGAUCCAGUUACCCUAGGGAUAACAGCGCAAUCCCCUUUUAGAGCCCACAUCGACAAGGGGGUUUACGACCUCGAUGUUGGAUCAGGACCUCCUAAUGGUGCAGCCGCUAUUAAGGGUUC
Molecule: ribosomal RNA, 1464 nt
Filed under: Babka gymnotrachelus (racer goby)
Lineage: Eukaryota; Metazoa; Chordata; Actinopteri; Gobiiformes; Gobiidae
Description: partial 16S ribosomal RNA
Rfam family: Bacterial large subunit ribosomal RNA
Source: RNAcentral